CCCAGACUCCUACGGGAGGCAGCAGUGAGGAAUAUUGGUCAAUGGGCGGAAGCCUGAACCAGCCAAGUCGCGUGAGGGACUAAGGCCCUGCGGGUCGUAAACCUCUUUUGCCGGGGAGCAGUGGUCCGGACGCGUCCGGACCGGGAGAGUACCCGGAGAAAAAGCAUCGGCUAACUCCGUGCCAGCAGCCGCGGUAAUACGGAGGAUGCGAGCGUUAUCCGGAUUUAUUGGGUUUAAAGGGUGCGUAGGCGGGCUGUUAAGUCAGCGGUAAAAGCCGGGGGCCCACCCCCGGCGAGCCGUUGAAACUGGCUGUCUUGAGAUGUCGAGAGGUAUGCGGAAUGCGCGGUGUAGCGGUGAAAUGCAUAGAUAUCGCGCAGAACUCCGAUUGCGAAGGCAGCAUGCCGGCUCCACACUGACGCUGAGGCACGAAAGCGUGGGUAUCGAACAGGAUUAGAUACCCCGGUAGC
This 467-nucleotide ribosomal RNA is filed under the name uncultured bacterium. RNAcentral's name for it is "bacterial SSU rRNA". It matches the Rfam family "Bacterial small subunit ribosomal RNA", at positions 330 to 794 of the family's 1533-position model. The record is from RNAcentral.